RNAcentral lists this ribosomal RNA (122 nucleotides) under Pectobacterium sp. F1-1. The record is from RNAcentral. Lineage: Bacteria; Pseudomonadati; Pseudomonadota; Gammaproteobacteria; Enterobacterales; Pectobacteriaceae.
UUGCCUGGCGGCGAUAGCGCGGUGGUCCCACCUGACCCCAUGCCGAACUCAGAAGUGAAACGCCGUAGCGCCGAUGGUAGUGUGGGGCUUCCCCAUGUGAGAGUAGGGAACUGCCAGGCAUC